GACGAACGCUGGCGGCGUGCUUAACACAUGCAAGUCGAACGGAAAGUGCUCUUCGGAGUGACUCGAGUGGCGAACGGGUGAGUAACACGUGGGUGAUCUGCCCUGCACUUUGGGAUAAGCCUGGGAAACUGGGUCUAAUACCGAAUAGGACCGCAACACUCAUGUGUUGUGGUGGAAAGCUUUUGCGGUGUGGGAUGGGCCCGCGGCCUAUCAGCUUGUUGGUGGGGUAAUGGCCUACCAAGGCGACGACGGGUAGCCGGCCUGAGAGGGUGAGCGGCCACACUGGGACUGAGAUACGGCCCAGGCUGCUACGGGAGGCAGCAGUGGGGAAUAUUGCACAAUGGGCGCAAGCCUGAUGCAGCGACGCCGCGUGGGGGAUGACGGCCUUCGGGUUGUAAACCUCUUUCAGUAGGGACGAAGCGCAAGUGACGGUACCUACAGAAGAAGCACCGGCCAACUACGUGCCAGCAGCCGCCGUAA
This 480-nucleotide ribosomal RNA is filed under the name uncultured bacterium. RNAcentral's name for it is "partial 16S ribosomal RNA". It matches the Rfam family "Bacterial small subunit ribosomal RNA", at positions 28 to 523 of the family's 1533-position model. The record is from RNAcentral.